Molecule: long non-coding RNA, 4091 nt
Organism: Gadus macrocephalus (Pacific cod)
Lineage: Eukaryota; Metazoa; Chordata; Actinopteri; Gadiformes; Gadidae
Exons: 2
Source: RefSeq, a predicted model, not a curated record
GACAAAUAAGCCUUCAAAAAGUAUACAUUUUAAAAAAUCUGUAAAAAUGGACAGAAUACAUUUAUUUGAAGUUGGAAGAGUGUGUUUAAACAAGUCUCAAUGGUUGCACAACAUUUACAAGGUUUAAAUACAGUUUUAGACUGUAUUUGCAAUUUCACCAACAAAGAAAUGUCAGGUGGUACAACCAAAAGUUUCUUGAAAAAAAACUCACUUCCUUUUUUUUUUUUAAAGUAAUUAUUUUAGUAAGUAUACCUGAAAGUGUCUUCAGUGCCAAACAUAUUAUUAUUUUGUAGUUGAGCUGGGUAUUAAAAGUAACUUAUGGAUUCUUAAUUGUAGGGAGCGGGUAUUUUGGGUUUCCAACAUCAAACUUUAGAUUUAAAAUGUGAAUAAAUACUUUACACAUUUAAAAAGUAUAUUGUUGCAUAGAAUGAUUAUUUACAUCACAAUAUCCAAACAUUUCUUCACUUCAAUCUCCCAUUUCUUUGUUUAGAUUAGUGUUUUACCUGGUUGCACCACCUGAUGAUGCGGUUGCGCCGCCUGACACGAUUCACAAUAACAACACAUAUGUUGAAUAAUUUCAUUUUUAUUUCACAGAAUGAAAGAAUCUCAGGUGUCUUGGGUCUAUUCAAGUAUUAAUUGGUAAAGAUAAAAACUUGUCAUCAUUCUAAUUAAGAAAAUCGUACUAAACAGAUCAGAAACAACAUUGUUUGGGCAACAUUACAUGACAAAAUAACACUUAAUAUUCAUUAGAAACUGGAUAGGCUUGAAUGAAGCACUAAUUGGUACGGAUAAGAACUGCUUAUUUCAUUUAAGUAAACCGUGCUAAACUGAUCAGAUACACGUUGUUUGAGCAACAUUACAUGACAAAAAUUACACUUAAUUUGGUAGAAACUGAAUAGGCUCCAAUUAAGGGAAUUCAUUCAUUUUAGGCGGCCCUACGAAAGCAGUCCCAGUCUGCAUUGUUAAGGCGCGUGUGCCUUGAAUUAAGUGGCUCUGGUUCGGAUAUUAUCUUUAGAACAUCAGUGUGGUAAUAAAAGGUAACAUCUGCAGGAUGGGGCCAAGUGAAAGCAUUCUUUGAGCCUAACUGCUGCAUGCAGCUGACCUCUAGCUCCUCAUCAAACACCUGAAGAACCUGCCCCACAAAUGGCUGUUCCUCAUACCUUACUAUGACAAAUUUUCCAGUAAGAUCCUGUUGAACAUUCACACUUGCCUCGGCACUGCUCGUUCGAAAGCUUAUCAUGGUGGUUUUGUAGCAUUGGCAGAUGUCAGGCCUGCUACAGAAACAGGACAGCUCUCGAUGCAGAAUUGUCCCUGGUUCAGUUGACAGGAUCUGGUGUAUGCCCAUAGUUCCCUUUACCAGGGGCACAACUUCAGGGACAGACUCAUCAUACUUCCUGAUGUCCUCCUCACACACCCAGAAAAACUUUUAUUUUAAGUUUUAAUUUUACUUGAUGCCUGUCUCUCCUUCAAAAAUCGGUAGAACUCCUCUGGGGUUUGAAUGUCUACUCCCAUGUUGACAGAAGAGUCAGCUAUCCUUUUGACAGCACCCCCAACACCAUCUGGUGCACCUUUCCCGUGAGACUUCUCAGAGAAGUUCCAAGUGACCUGCUUGAAUCCUGAAAGGAAGGGGAUGGUGCUCAGCAGGCUCAAGGUGGGCCCACACAGCUCUCUCAUCAUGCCGGAGGGACCCAGAGAUAGUGGCAAAGGAUUGCACUCCAUCUGAGGAGUAGGCAACACAGGAGUGUACGUACAGUGGCCUGCCUUCUGUUUCCUCCAAAGUGGAAAGCCUGCACUUCCCUGUUGAGUUUGCAGCCGAAAUUUUCUGCAAAAUCAACAUGCACAACUAUCUCAUCAUCUUUAAGGCUGUCUUUUAAUGCCCUGCACUCUUUGGCCUGGUGGAGCCAAUUAAAAUGGUGCUUUGCAAGGCCAUCAAGCUUUCGGUUGAAAAGCUCCAACAUUUCAGAUGAUGUACCAUUUUGUGUCUCCUUCACAAAGUUCAUGAAUGUCCUUUGCUCCUCUGUGACCGGUUUUCUCACCCACUGAGACCACACCACCGUCUCCUCUGUCUGGGGUUGUGAAACUUCAACCUCAUUAUAGCAGCAUUUUGCACAGAUUUUGUACACACAGGCCAUGUUGUCUGGAUUGCAAAAAAUUGCAGACUGCAGCUCAGAAACACUGGAUGUUUUCAGAAGACCUUUCUGCUGCAGUUUUUCAGACAGGAGUUUCACAUUUUCAUGGUCCAUGCAGGCACAUGUGUUCCUGUCAGAUGCUUUUGGCCGAGUCACAUAGAAAGGACAAUAUCUGACAAAUUGUCUGUAAGAGAGCAUGCGUUGCCUCUCCAUUUCAGAAUUAUAUGAGAUAUGGAGUUCUGCUAGGGGUUUAACAAGAACACGCCUCUGCUGUUUGUUUUUGUUCUUUGUUACUGUAUCUUUUUUCCCUGGCAGUAAGCGACUGUUCUCAUCACGACAGAGGAACUCAACUACUGUUUAUUUCCUUUCUAAAGCCAGUUUUUUUGCACCCCUUUUUCCUUGAGUUUUAAAUUUAACUUUUUCCUGACUCCUGGCUCUGUUCUGUCUUAAUCUUUCUAGGCGUUUUCGAAAUCUUUCUGUUUCUUGUCUGGCUGCCUCCAUUUCCCUUUUCAUCCUGUUCAUGUCACGGCGCAACUUUGCUCUCUCUCUUUGCCAUCUAAAGCUGCUUGCUCUCAAUGGUGUGGAAGAUGCUCUCGGUUGCUGAUCGUCUAAACUGUUCUCUGCAUUAAUGUUAGGGGGGUCAGGCUGAAGUUGUGCUAUUGGUGAUAGAUCCGCUGACUCAGGUGUUACUGCAAUGGGAGUUGUAUCCAGUGACUCUGGUGUAAAAUUCAAGAUUUCCUCCAUAGCCCUUUUCCUUUCCCUGUUCUUUCUCUGAUCUUUCUUCCACUGUUUCCUCACUUUAUCCUGUUCUGCUUUGGACAGCUGGCUGAUUGGGGGCUUCACACAUUUCCCCUCUCUCUUCCUAUUUUGAUAGCUAUAAAAACAAACACUAAGGUUAACUGAAAUGUUAUAAUUUGAUGUCUGACUGACUGCUGUACAAAAUAACAACUACACAAAAACUGUGGCUUAUCUACUUACCUUUCUUUCCUUUUUGCAAGAUAUCUUUCUCUUGCAGCUGGAUAAUUUUUAAUGUGCUGCCUGUAGCGUGCUGCUUUUUCUUUGCUAGAUAGUGGCAUCUAAAAUCAUUGAAAUGGAUAUUUCAAAAAUGUAAUAAUAUAAAUAUAUUUAAUGUAUAUAGUUACUAUUAAUGUACAAUUAAUUAAUAUUUUUAAAACUAUACAAUAGUAUAUAUCAGGUUAGCAUGUUUAUUUCAUCAAGAAAAUACAUUUCUUCUGGUUGCGCCACCUGAUUUACUGGUUGCGCCGCCCUGACAUUUGCUACUAAUUCCCAAUUAUUCAGGCAUCUACUUGGACAUCUAUAUAACCUUUUGACUUUGCUAGCUAGUUCAUUCAUUCAUUUUUACAUUCAAAUAAAGUCUUUUAGAUUAAAAUAAAUUUUUCAUAGUUUUACAUUGGAUGUACCACCUGACAUGUUAAACUGUACACGUCUAACUAUGAACAGAAAGUAGCUAUUUUUAUCAAUAUUAGAGAGAGAUUUACAAACCUUUCACUCAUCAGUAGAGGUCAGUUGGGGUCCUUUUGAUGAUGCAAUAUCCUGUUUACUCAUCUCUCUUCCAUUUCAAAAUAAAAGCUGUAUGAAUGCGGUUGCGCCGCCCUGACAUUUCAGAUAUGCACAUUUCCGGACAAAGUUGUUUUCAAUAUUCCAAACAAUUUAAAGAACAAUGUAACUUGUAAACUUUGAUUAUUUGAAAGGUUUUCAAUAUAAAAUGAUGCCACCAUAUUAAUAUUAUAUUAAUUAAUAUUUAAAAUUACAUAUUUAAUGCAUUUCACAUAGUGUUAACUUGUUCGGACGGUUGCACCACCUGACAUUUUGAGGGUUUGAGAUGGCAAAACAUGAUAUAUAUAUCAUUUUUAUGAUAAACUGGAAAUAUGUUCAAAUUAAACAGGUUUUAUAGAAUAAAGGAUGCUUAUUAUAAAUCAUCAAAAAUUAUUUUAAACCAAA